GACGUAGGGGGCGAGCGUUGUCCGGAUUUAUUGGGCGUAAAGAGCUCGUAGGCGGCUCGUCGCGUCGACCGUGAAAACCCGCAGCUUAACUGCGGGCUUGCGGUUGAUACGGGCGGGCUAGAGUUCGGUAGGGGAGACUGGAAUUCCUGGUGUAGCGGUGAAAUGCGCAGAUAUCAGGAAGAACACCCGUGGCGAAGGCGGCUCUCUGGGACGGUACUGACGCUGAGACGCGAAAGCGUGGGGAGCGAACAGG
This 253-nucleotide ribosomal RNA is filed under the name uncultured bacterium. Its description in RNAcentral is "partial 16S ribosomal RNA". It matches the Rfam family "Bacterial small subunit ribosomal RNA", at positions 524 to 776 of the family's 1533-position model. The record is from RNAcentral.